Molecule: non-coding RNA, 805 nt
Organism: Megalopta genalis
Lineage: Eukaryota; Metazoa; Arthropoda; Insecta; Hymenoptera; Halictidae
Source: RefSeq, a predicted model, not a curated record
UAUAUGACCUUAGCUGUUUGUUUCCAGUGUUUAACAACAGUUUAAAGUUCGAGAUACAUUCAACUAGCCUAAUAAGUGGUGCCGACAUAUUUGAUCAGGUAUAGUGAUUUCAAGAGAGAAGAAACAUCGGUUUAAACAAACGGGAAUGCAUUCGGCAAUUAUACAAACUUUGGAUUUCCAUUGGAACGAGAGCCGGUGGUCUCUGCCCGAUCCGCCCUCGUUCCGCUUCAUCCCGUCGUCCCUACCCGAUUUGGCAACAAUCGCAAGUGGCUAAAGUAGAGCUUUAAUAACAUGAACUAUGGCCGCUGCUCAAAGGACAAAGGAUGUCAAAGCAGGUAAUGUCAAAUGGAUGAUCAGAGGUUGUCGCAAUUAAUAUAUGUUACAUAAUAACAUUAAAAUCUUGAAAUUACAAACACAAAGUUAAAUUAUAAGAUUGUUAAAAGAUUUUUAAUAAUAAUCGGAAGUAAAAUAGAGAAUGUAGGUUUUAUUGCAGAUCCUUAAAAAGGUACUAAUUUCGAUAGACGCAACUUGUUGAGCAAUCAAGAAAUACCAAAACUGACAACUUGUCGAUCAAUAAACCGUGGAUCUUUACGCAAAAUCAAAAUUGUCUAAAGUAAUUGUAAGGAACAUAAAUCCGCUAAAAAUAUCAUUUUUUGUUUAAUCAUUAUAAUAAGUUGUACAUAAUAUUAAAAUAUUCUUAAAUUCUUUUAAAGUUUAAAGCUUUUCUUUUGAAGCUUCUGUUUAACUUGAAGUCAUUGUUGUAAAAAAAGAUGAAUAAAGAUGAAUCAAGAAACUCUGAAACUUA